This 548-nucleotide long non-coding RNA is filed under the name Equus caballus (horse). Its description in RNAcentral is "lncRNA (ENSECAG00000041800.2)". Lineage: Eukaryota; Metazoa; Chordata; Mammalia; Perissodactyla; Equidae. The record is from RNAcentral.
GAUCAUUGGAAUGUGAGCAGAAGUGAUGAAUUGCAUUUCCAGACCAGAUAUCUAAAAAUAUUCCUGAGUUCCUUUAUGCUUUCUCUCUUUCCCAUCUGCUGUCUGAAUGCAGACAAUUCAGCAGAGGACUCCAAGACCCAAGGCGAUGAUGGAACCAGGAGAUAUGAAGACGCAGGGUCCCUGAAUCACCACUUGAAAGCAGACAUCUAGAAGACCCAAUGGAACGGGUACCCCAUACUGUUUGGUUGUUCCUGCUGCUGAAAUAUGGUCUGACUGCUUUGCUGUAUCAUUCGGGAAAGCACCAGCAGAAUAUGACUCAAGGCAAACAGUUUCACAGUCUCAUUGAUGUAAAGAGCAGAAGAAUUCAUCUUUUGGGUUGUUUACUGUUCUGAAUAGCAAUCAGUAGUUUGCACUUGUAGGUAAAAGCUAAACAUACCAUAAAUGUAUUCCCUGUUAGUAUUUAUUGGGGAAAAAAAAGAUCUUGGGGUCAGACUGAGUUCUAGAAAGUUUCUUAACUCAAUCUGCACUUUAUCUUCUUUAGAUAUUUA